GAUGAAGAACGUAUCGAAAUGCGAUAAGUAAUGUGAAUUGCAGAAUUCAGUGAAUCAUCGAAUCUUUGAACGCACAUUGCGCCCGCCAGUAUUCUGGCGGGCAUGCCUGUUCGAGCGUCAUUUCAACCAUCAAGCCCCCGGCUUGUGUUGGGGACCUGCGGCUGCCGCAGGCCCUGAAAACCAGUGGCGGGCUCGCUGUCACACCGAGCGUAGUAGAUUUUCAUCUCGCUCAGGGCGUGCUGCGGGUUCCGGCCGUAAAAAGCCUUAUUUACCCAAGGUUGACCUCGGAUCAGGUAGGAAGACCCGCUGAACUUAAGCAUAUCAAUAAGCGGAGGA
Molecule: unclassified non-coding RNA, 336 nt
Filed under: soil metagenome
Description: partial contains 5.8S ribosomal RNA, internal transcribed spacer 2, and large subunit ribosomal RNA
Rfam family: 5.8S ribosomal RNA (bases 1-120)
Source: RNAcentral